UCGGGAAUAUUGCGCAAUGGAGGAAACUCUGACGCAGUGACGCCGCGUAUAGGAAGAAGGUUUUCGGAUUGUAAACUAUUGUCGUUAGGGAAGAAAAAAUGACAGUACCUAAGGAGGAAGCUCCGGCUAACUACGUGCCAGCAGCCGCGGUAAUACGUAGGGAGCGAGCGUUAUCCGGAUUUAUUGGGUGUAAAGGGUGCGUAGACGGGUAUGCAAGUUGGUUGUGAAAUCCCUCGGCUUAACUGAGGAACUGCAACCAAAACUGUAUAUCUUGAGUACUGGAGAGGAAAGUGGAAUUCCUAGUGUAGCGGUGAAAUGCGUAGAUAUUAGGAGGAACACCAGUGGCGAAGGCGACUUUCUGGACAGUAACUGACGUUGAGGCACGAAAGUGUGGGGAGCAAACAGGAUUAGAUACC
RNAcentral lists this ribosomal RNA (416 nucleotides) under uncultured bacterium. RNAcentral's name for it is "bacterial SSU rRNA". It matches the Rfam family "Bacterial small subunit ribosomal RNA", at positions 355 to 786 of the family's 1533-position model. The record is from RNAcentral.